Molecule: ribosomal RNA, 497 nt
Filed under: uncultured bacterium
Lineage: Bacteria
Description: partial 16S ribosomal RNA
Rfam family: Bacterial small subunit ribosomal RNA
Source: RNAcentral
GAUGAACGCUGGCGGCGUGCCUAAUACAUGCAAGUCGAGCGAACAGACGAGGAGCUUGCUCUUCUGACGUUAGCGGCGGACGGGUGAGUAACACGUGGAUAACCUACCUAUAAGACUGGGAUAACUUCGGGAAACCGGAGCUAAUACCGGAUAAUAUAUUGAACGGCAUGGUUCAGUAGUGAAUGACGGCUUGCCUGUCACUAAUAGAUGGAUCCGCGCCGCAUUAGCUAGUUGGUAAGGUAACGGCUUACCAAGGCAACGAUGCGUAGCCGACCUGAGAGGAUGAUCAGCCACACUGGAACUGAGACACGGUCCAGACUCCUACGGGAGGCAGCAGUAGGGAAUAUUCGACAAUGGGCGAAAGCCUGACCGAGCAACGCCGCGUGGGUGAUGAAGGUCUUCGGAUCGUAAAACUCUGUUAUUGGGGAAGAACAAAUGUGUAAGUAACUAUGCACGUCUUGACGGUACCUAAUCAGAAAGCCACGGCUAACUACGUG